GAACGCUGGCGGCGUGCUUAACACAUGCAAGUCGAACGAAGCACUUUAUUACAAUUUCUUCGGAAUGACGAUUUAGUGACUGAGUGGCGGACGGGUGAGUAACGCGUGGGUAACCUGCCUUAUACAGGGGGAUAACAGUUAGAAAUGACUGCUAAUACCGCAUAAGCGCACAGUACCGCAUGGUACAGUGUGAAAAACUCCGGUGGUAUAAGAUGGACCCGCGUCUGAUUAGCUAGUUGGCAGGGUAACGGCCUACCAAGGCGACGAUCAGUAGCCGACCUGAGAGGGUGACCGGCCACAUUGGGACUGAGACACGGCCCAGACUCCUACGGGAGGCAGCAGUGGGGAAUAUUGCACAAUGGAGGAAACUCUGAUGCAGCGACGCCGCGUGAGUGAAGAAGUAUUUCGGUAUGUAAAGCUCUAUCAGCAGGGAAGAUAAUGACGGUACCUGACUAAGAAGCACCGGCUAAAUACGUG
RNAcentral lists this ribosomal RNA (477 nucleotides) under uncultured bacterium. RNAcentral's name for it is "bacterial SSU rRNA". It matches the Rfam family "Bacterial small subunit ribosomal RNA", at positions 31 to 507 of the family's 1533-position model. The record is from RNAcentral.